CCCAUCAGCCCAUGGGUUUGGAUACGUCCUCCCAUCUACCUCACCUGGCUGCUUUUCAAGGCUCAUCCCCUUGGCCUCAGCAGGCUCCCAGCUGCUCUGGGCUCAGGAGGCUGGGUGGUUCCUAUCCUACUUGGCAAUCAGUUUUUGCUCUGCUAAGCACAAACAAGAUGAAACCACCUUCAGGGUCCAAGAGAGUGGCUAGUGUGUCCUGGGGCUGUUUCUGGGCUGUCUCCUAACCCUUUCCUGGCGCAUGAGGUCUGAGAAGGCUCCAUCUGCGCUCUCAUCUGAAGCCUGGCUGAUGGACAUCAACCCUUGGAGCCCAAACCAGGCUUUGGAUUUCACACCAGCCAGGAUCCAGAAUGGUGGCUCCACAGCCUUGAAGAGGUUUCAGACACACAGUAUUAUUCUCUAGGAAGAAGCAUCCCCCUCUCUCCCAAGGGUCCUUUGCAAAUUGAAUCCACAGCCCUCAAAACCUGGAGCUGGUGCCAAGCAUUUCAAUCUUACCAAAAGUAAACUAGGAGCACAAAUGUACAUUAAAAUGGACUUUAAAGUUAUGGCAGUGAAAUUGCAUGGACAAAAAGCUCUGCUUUGGGAAAAGCCCAAAGGAAAACUGAUAAACAAGAAGGAGCAGAUUCCCCCCUGGAAGUCUUCCUGGCAGGGUGCAUUUCAGUGGGGUGGGAGCCUGGGAGGAUGCUUACCAUGACUGCUGGGGCCUCCAGAGGUAAGAAUGUGGUCCCGGAUGGGUAGCAUUUGCUGACAUUCAUGGUCCCCAAUGUUUCUCUUCCUCUGCUCAUUUUCUGAGUGUUGUCUAAGAAAGCUCUGGGAAGGAAAAUGGGAUUCAAAUCGGUUUGUGAGGAUAGGGAAGGCAUUAAGGAGCUACCUUCAUGGGAAUGGCCCUGGCAGCAAGGACGGAUGGAUCUGGGCUAGCUCUUGGCUGUGGGCAAAGGCUGGUGUGUCACUCAUUGCAAAUAGUUCUUACUUAUCCAGCCUCCAUCCCUGUUCUGUACUGGAUGAAACAUUUAGGCUUGUGGUGGAGAGCAGCUCAUAGGAGGUGCCUUAAUGGCUGCUUCUGAUAUUAAAAUCAAUGAGUCCCAAAAUUGCUACCCAAACUGAGAAAACCAGCCUUGUAGCUGGCAUUUACUGCCUAAAGAUGUACUGGAGCAUGUUUAAGCACAGACUCUGCAUUAUCAGACCUUUGGAGAUUACUCCUAGCUUCUUUCCUCUGUUAAAUAUAGCUUGGCUCUGCUGCCUUUCACAGGAAUAAAACUUGCUAUUACUUCUAGGAAUCAUCCAUUAAGUAUGUUUAAAAUGCUGUUUCAGCCACGUGUCUGCACUGUUGUGUAAUCCACAGAGCAUUCCCUGUGCACGACCA
This is a long non-coding RNA of Neopsephotus bourkii (Bourke's parrot), 1372 nucleotides long. RefSeq lists it as uncharacterized. NCBI's taxonomy places the organism in Eukaryota, Metazoa, Chordata, Aves, Psittaciformes, Psittacidae. The transcript is spliced from 3 exons. The record is from RefSeq and is a predicted model, not a curated record.